GCCCUACGGGAGGCAGCAGUGGGGAAUAUUGGACAAUGGGCGCAAGCCUGAUCCAGCAAUGCCGCGUGGGUGAAGAAGGUCUUCGGAUUGUAAAGCCCUUUCGGCGGGGACGAUGAUGACGGUACCCGCAGAAGAAGCCCCGGCUAACUUCGUGCCAGCAGCCGCGGUAAUACGAAGGGGGCUAGCGUUGCUCGGAAUUACUGGGCGUAAAGGGCGCGUAGGCGGCCUUGUCAGUCGGGCGUGAAAUUCCUGGGCUCAACCUGGGGGCUGCGUUCGAUACGGCGGGGCUAGAGGACGGAAGAGGCUCGUGGAAUUCCCAGUGUAGAGGUGAAAUUCGUAGAUAUUGGGAAGAACACCGGUGGCGAAGGCGGCGAGCUGGUCCGUAACUGACGCUGAGGCGCGACAGCGUGGGGAGCAAACAGGAUUAGAUACCCGAGUAGUCG
Molecule: ribosomal RNA, 443 nt
Filed under: uncultured Acetobacteraceae bacterium
Lineage: Bacteria; Pseudomonadati; Pseudomonadota; Alphaproteobacteria; Acetobacterales; Acetobacteraceae
Description: bacterial SSU rRNA
Rfam family: Bacterial small subunit ribosomal RNA
Source: RNAcentral